ACAAUGGCAAAAUCAGACAGACUUCUUUUCAAAUACAGAUCUCCAAUGUCCCCCUCCAGUCUGCAGCUGCACGGCUGGUGGUGUGGCUCAGACGGAGCAAGGGUUACAUCAAGGCUGCUCUCUGGACCGUGCAAACAGUCUAGACCAAUGACCUGCAGCAUCAUGCCCUUUGAAGAAGAGGCAAGUUCGGUCAUGAUGAAGAAGAAUCGAGGCGUACCCCCUUUUAACAAUAGGGAGCAGCUCGAGGCUGCAAAGAGGGAAUCUUGAGGAACCCAUUAAUGUAAAGCUGCGGCCAGAGUUCCAUGAGGAGGCAGAAUGUUCUAGAUGAUCCCUGUCUCUUCUCCAUUGAGGAAGUCGUUUCUUGCCUCUCUGUAAGCUCAGUUAAUGUAAGUAGAUUCUGGUUGUAACAGGAAAUGAAAAAAAAAAA
This 427-nucleotide long non-coding RNA is filed under the name Mus musculus (house mouse). Its description in RNAcentral is "Mir99a and Mirlet7c-1 host gene". Lineage: Eukaryota; Metazoa; Chordata; Mammalia; Rodentia; Muridae. The record is from RNAcentral.